RNAcentral lists this ribosomal RNA (2920 nucleotides) under Nitrincola tapanii. Its description in RNAcentral is "Nitrincola sp. MEB193 23S ribosomal RNA". It matches the Rfam family "Bacterial large subunit ribosomal RNA". Lineage: Bacteria; Pseudomonadati; Pseudomonadota; Gammaproteobacteria; Oceanospirillales; Oceanospirillaceae. The record is from RNAcentral.
GUUAUAUGGUCAAGUGAAUAAGCGUGCACGGUGGAUGCCUUGGCAGUCAGAGGCGAUGAAGGACGUGGUAGCCUGCGAAAAGCUUCGGGGAGUCGGCAAACAGACUUUGAUCCGGAGAUGUCCGAAUGGGGAAACCCACCUAGUUUACUAGGUAUCUCUUAGCUGAAUACAUAGGCUUUGAGAAGCGAACUCGGGGAACUGAAACAUCUAAGUACCCGAAGGAAAAGAAAUCAACCGAGAUUCCCUUAGUAGCGGCGAGCGAACGGGGAGUAGCCCUUAAGCGGCAUUGUGGUUAAAAGAACGCUCUGGAAAGUGCGGCCAUAGAGGGUGAUAGCCCCGUAUUUGAAAACCUAAUUGUCGUGAAAACGAGUAAGGCGGGACACGUGAUAUCCUGUCUGAAGAUGGGGGGACCAUCCUCCAAGGCUAAAUACUCCUGACUGACCGAUAGUGAACCAGUACCGUGAGGGAAAGGCGAAAAGAACCCCUGUGAGGGGAGUGAAAUAGACCCUGAAACCGUGUACGUACAAGCAGUGGGAGCCGUUUACGGACGGUGACUGCGUACCUUUUGUAUAAUGGGUCAGCGACUUACUUUCAGUGGCAAGCUUAACCGAGUAGGGGAGGCGUAGGGAAACCGAGUCUUAAUAGGGCGUCAAGUCGCUGGGAGUAGACCCGAAACCGGGCGAUCUAUCCAUGGGCAGGUUGAAGGUUGAGUAACAUCAACUGGAGGACCGAACCGACUACCGUUGAAAAGUUAGCGGAUGACCUGUGGAUCGGAGUGAAAGGCUAAUCAAGCUCGGAGAUAGCUGGUUCUCCUCGAAAGCUAUUUAGGUAGCGCCUCAUGUCUCACCUUGGGGGGUAGAGCACUGUUUCGGCUAGGGGGUCAUCCCGACUUACCAACCCGAUGCAAACUCCGAAUACCCAAGAGUGCAAUCAUGGGAGACACACGGCGGGUGCUAACGUCCGUCGUGAAAAGGGAAACAACCCAGACCGCCAGCUAAGGUCCCAAAAUUCUGGUUAAGUGGGAAACGAUGUGGGAAGGCUUAGACAGCUAGGAGGUUGGCUUAGAAGCAGCCACCCUUUAAAGAAAGCGUAAUAGCUCACUAGUCGAGUCGGCCUGCGCGGAAGAUAUAACGGGGCUCAAACCAGAUACCGAAGCUGCGGAUGCUUAGAAUUUCUAGGCAUGGUAGAGGAGCGUUGUGUAAGCCGUUGAAGCGGAAGGUGGGAACCACCGUGGAGGUAUCACAAGUGCGAAUGCUGACAUAAGUAACGAUAAGGGGUGUGAAAAACAUCCCCGCCGGAAGACCAAGGUUUCCUAUCCAAUGUUAAUCAGGGUAGGGUGAGUCGGCCCCUAAGGCGAGGCAGAAAUGCGUAGUCGAUGGGAAACGGGCUAAUAUUCCCGUACCGGCUGUAACUGCGAUGGGGAGACGGAGAAGGCUAGGCCAGCAUGGCGAUGGUUGUCCAUGUUUAAGGGUGUAGGCUGAGUGAGUAGGCAAAUCCGCUCGCUCAAGGCUGAGACCUGAUGACGAGACUCUUUUGAGUCGAAGUGGUUGAUGCCCGGCUUCCAGGAAAAUCCUCUAAGCUUCAGGUUACAGACGACCGUACCCCAAACCGACACAGGUGGUCAGGUUGAGAAUACCCAGGCGCUUGAGAGAACUCGGGUGAAGGAACUAGGCAAAAUGGUGCCGUAACUUCGGGAGAAGGCACGCCGGUGAUGGUGAUGAGACUUGCUCUCUAAGCUGUCGUCGGUCGAAGAUACCAGGUGGCUGCGACUGUUUAUUAAAAACACAGCACUCUGCAAACACGAAAGUGGACGUAUAGGGUGUGACGCCUGCCCGGUGCCGGAAGGUUAAUUGAUGGGGUUAGCGCAAGCGAAGCUCUUGAUCGAAGCCCCGGUAAACGGCGGCCGUAACUAUAACGGUCCUAAGGUAGCGAAAUUCCUUGUCGGGUAAGUUCCGACCUGCACGAAUGGCGUAACGAUGGCCACACUGUCUCCACCCGAGACUCAGUGAAAUUGAACUCGCUGUGAAGAUGCAGCGUCCCCGCGGCUAGACGGAAAGACCCCGUGAACCUUUACUAUAGCUUCACAGUGGACUUUGACAUGACUUGUGUAGGAUAGCUGGGAGGCUUUGAAACUUGGACGCCAGUUCGAGUGGAGCCGAUCUUGAAAUACCAGCCUGGUCCUGUUGAGGUUCUAACUCAGAUCCCUUAUCGGGAUCGAGGACAUUGUGUGGUGGGUAGUUUGACUGGGGCGGUCUCCUCCCAAAGAGUAACGGAGGAGCACGAAGGUACCCUCAGGCUGGUCGGAAAUCAGCCAAUGAGCGCAAGAGUAGAAGGGUGCUUGACUGCGAGACAGACACGUCGAGCAGGUGCGAAAGCAGGUUCUAGUGAUCCGGUGGUUCUGUAUGGAAGGGCCAUCGCUCAACGGAUAAAAGGUACUCCGGGGAUAACAGGCUGAUACCGCCCAAGAGUUCACAUCGACGGCGGUGUUUGGCACCUCGAUGUCGGCUCAUCACAUCCUGGGGCUGAAGCCGGUCCCAAGGGUAUGGCUGUUCGCCAUUUAAAGUGGUACGCGAGCUGGGUUUAGAACGUCGUGAGACAGUUCGGUCCCUAUCUGCCGUGGGCGUUUGAGAUUUGAGAAGAGUUGCUCCUAGUACGAGAGGACCGGAGUGAACGAACCUCUGGUGUUCCGGUUGUCACGCCCGUGGCAUUGCCGGGUAGCUACGUUCGGACGGGAUAACCGCUGAAAGCAUCUAAGCGGGAAGCCCCCUUCAAGAUGAGAUCUCACUGGACCCUUGAGGUCCCUAAAGAGCCGUCCGAGACCAGGACGUUGAUAGGCAGGGUGUGUAAGCGUUGUAAGGCGUUGAGCUAACCUGUACUAAUGGCUCGUGAGGCUUGACCAUAUAACGCCGAAGGCGUUUGG